Molecule: ribosomal RNA, 253 nt
Filed under: uncultured bacterium
Lineage: Bacteria
Description: partial 16S ribosomal RNA
Rfam family: Bacterial small subunit ribosomal RNA
Source: RNAcentral
UACAGAGGGUGCGAGCGUUAAUCGGAAUUACUGGGCGUAAAGCGUGCGUAGACGGUUAUUUAAGUCGGAUGUGAAAGCCCCGGGCUCAACCUGGGAAUUGCAUUCGGGACUGAAUAGCUAGGGUACGGUAGAGGGAAGCGGAAUUUCCGGUGUAGCGGUGAAAUGCGUAGAUAUCGGAAGGAACAUCAGUGGCGAAAGCGGCUUCCUGGACCAGUACCGACGUUCAGGCACGAAAGCGUGGGGAGCAAACAGG